CAGCAGCCGCGGUAAUACGUAUGUUCCAAGCGUUAUCCGGAUUUAUUGGGCGCAAAGCGAGCGCAGACGGUUAUUUAAGUCUGAAGUGAAAGCCCUCGGCUUAACCGAGGAAUUGCUUUGGAAACUGGAUAACUUGAGUGCAGUAGAGGAAAGUGGAACUCCAUGUGUAGCGGUGAAAUGCGUAGAUAUAUGGAAGAACACCAGUGGCGAAGGCGGCUUUCUGGACUGUAACUGACGCUGAGGCUCGAAAGUAUGGGUAGCAAACAGGAUUAGAUACCCUGGUAGUCCAUACCGUAAACGAUGAAUGCUAAGUGUUGGAGGGUUUCCGCCCUUCAGUGCUGCAGCUAACGCAUUAAGCAUUCCGCCUGGGGAGUACGGCCGCAAGGCUGAAACUCAAAGGAAUUGACGGGGGCCCGCACAAGCGGUGGAGCAUGUGGUUUAAUUCGAAGCUACGCGAAGAACCUUACCAGGUCUUGACAUACUAUGCAAAUCUAAGAGAUUAGACGUUCCCUUCGGGGACAUGGAUACAGGUGGUGCAUGGUUGUCGUCAGCUCGUGUCGUGAGAUGUUGGGUUAAGUCCCGCAACGAGCGCAACCCUUAUUAUCAGUUGCCAGCAUUAAGUUGGGCACUCUGGUGAGACUGCCGGUGACAAACCGGAGGAAGGCGGGGAUGACGUCAAAUCAUCAUGCCCCUUAUGACCUGGGCUACACACGUGCUACAAUGGCAAGUACAACGAGCAGCCAACCCGCGAGGGUGCGCAAAUCUCUUAAAGCCUGUCUCAGUUCGGACUGUAGGCUGCAACUCGCCUACACGAAGUCGGAAUCGCUAGUAAUCGCGGAUCAGCACGCCGCGGUGAAUACGUUCCCGGGCCUUGUACACACCGCCCGUCACACCAUGAGAGUUUGUAACACCCAAAGUCGGUGAGGUAACCUUUAUAGGGGCCAGCCGCCUAAGGUGGGACAGAUGAUUAGGGUGAAGUCGUA
This 983-nucleotide ribosomal RNA is filed under the name Lactiplantibacillus plantarum. Its description in RNAcentral is "bacterial SSU rRNA". It matches the Rfam family "Bacterial small subunit ribosomal RNA", at positions 509 to 1490 of the family's 1533-position model. The record is from RNAcentral. Lineage: Bacteria; Bacillati; Bacillota; Bacilli; Lactobacillales; Lactobacillaceae.